CAUGUGCACGCUCUGUUCACACAUCCACUCACACCCUGUGCACCCUCUGUAGUUCUAUGGUCAGGGGGCCUGUCCUCCUGCUGUGGUUCUGCAUCUUUACACACACGCCGUAACAAAGUCUCAUGGAAUGCAUGUCGCGUUUAACGCAAUACAAUACAACUUUUAGCAACGGAUCUCUUGGCUCUCGCAUCGAUGAAGAACGCAGCGAAAUGCGAUAAGUAAUGUGAAUUGCAGAAUUCAGUGAAUCAUCGAAUCUUUGAACGCACCUUGCGCCCUUUGGCCAUUCCGAAGGGCAUGCCUGUUUGAGUAUCAUGAACACCUCAACUCAUCGUGGUUUUCCAUGAUGAGCUUGGACUUUGGGGGUUUUGCUGGCCUACAGUCGGCUCCUCUAAAAUAAAUCAGCUUACCGGUGUUUGGUGGGUAUCAUGGGUGUGAUAACUAUCUACGCUUGUGGUUUUUCCACCAGGUAACCUUCAGCAGUGAAGGUUCACUGGAGCUCAUA
This 502-nucleotide ribosomal RNA is filed under the name uncultured fungus. Its description in RNAcentral is "eukaryotic LSU rRNA". The stretch from base 158 to 312 matches the Rfam family "5.8S ribosomal RNA". Lineage: Eukaryota; Fungi. The record is from RNAcentral.